RNAcentral lists this long non-coding RNA (927 nucleotides) under Nicotiana benthamiana. RNAcentral describes it as "long non-coding RNA (NBEN_LNC011552)". The record is from RNAcentral. Lineage: Eukaryota; Viridiplantae; Streptophyta; Magnoliopsida; Solanales; Solanaceae.
CUCAAAAUACGCUUUGGAUAAAAACGUAACCAAAUCACGUUCGAAUGACCUGAAAUUUUGCACGCACAUCCCAAAUGGCAUGACGGAGCUGCUAAAACUUCCGGAAUUCCUUUCCGUCCCUCGGAUAAAAACCUCAUUAGUAGACAGGAAACUUCAAAAUUUCAAACUUCGGCAUUUUAAGACUAAAUUAGCUACGGACCUCCAAAACACAUUCUGAACACGCACCCAGCCCCGAAAUCACCUAAUGGAGCUAACGGAACUAUCAUAUUUUCAUUCUGAGGCCGUCUUCACACGAUUCCAAUUACGGACAACUUUCCAAUACUUAAGCUAUAAUUUAGGGACUAAGUGUCCCAAAACUCUUCGAAACCAAAAAUCGAACAGCCCGGCAAACCAAAAUAGCAGAAAAUUAUCUUGAAAAAAGCAGAUAAUAGGGUAUCGGGGCAUAAAUUCUAAAAACGACCAGCCAGGUCGUUACAAUUUCCCUCACUAUUAUGUCCUUUCCUUACUGUAUCAUCUCUCCUCUAUAUGUAUGUUCUUGUGUGAUUGAGAAUGAGGGGAGGGAGGAAAUUUGUCUCUGAUGUGGUGUAUUCCGGCGAUUUUGAGUGCUCGUCGGCACUAAGGGAUGGUGUGAAGAAGCAUCAUCCGCUGCCUGAAGGGUGUUGGGAUGGAAAUCGUGAUCAUGUGUGCAACGAUGGGGUCUUCUUUGGCGAGCUGUGGUGAUGAGAGUGCAGAUUUCCGGGGUUUUGAGAGGUGGAUGACGGUUGUGUUGGUUUUUUGGGGCGUUAGGGUUUAUUGGUAGUGUGUACAUGAAGAAGAUGAAGAUGGUUGGGCCUUGUAUAGGAGACAGUGGCGGCUAGGCUACUCCCUUAGGGUUGGCGGCAACGGUUAGGUGUUGGAGACGUUUUUCCUUUGUUUUCUGUCUUGUGU